This 84-nucleotide transfer RNA is filed under the name Clostridiales bacterium. Its description in RNAcentral is "tRNA-Leu". It matches the Rfam family "tRNA". From Rfam's summary of the family: Transfer RNA (tRNA) molecules are approximately 80 nucleotides in length. The record is from RNAcentral. Lineage: Bacteria; Bacillati; Bacillota; Clostridia; Eubacteriales.
GCGGAUGUGGCGGAAUGGCAGACGCAGCAGACUCAAAAUCUGCCGAGCAUAACACUCGUGAGGGUUCGAGUCCCUCCAUCCGCA